GCUGGAAGCAGGACCGCACGUGCGGGAAAUGCGGCGCGCGUGCGGCGAUGUGCGGGGCAGCAGCUCAGAAACGUGAUUUUUGAGUCAUUUCUUAGAUUUUCUUUUCCUCUCUUCUUCUUCCCUCUUCCAUGUCCGAAACCCUAGCUCCCAAAACCUUGAUUUCCUCCACUUUUCUCAACAAAUCAACCAUGGAUCUUGCAUCAAGGAUGGAGAAUAAGAGGAGAUCACCACUUUCUACCGAAUGGAAUUUCGAAAUUUUUGAGGGCAUAACCUGAGAAGGACGAGCACUCCGUUAUAGCACUGUCCUGCGUUUGGAGGUCAGCCUCAACUUUUCAUGCUCGUCUUCCUUGUUAGCCUCUGUCUGUCCAAGCAUUUGGGUGAAGCCUACCCGUUUGGUGAAGUUUUGGC
This is a non-coding RNA of Camellia sinensis, 408 nucleotides long. The record is from RefSeq and is a predicted model, not a curated record. Lineage: Eukaryota; Viridiplantae; Streptophyta; Magnoliopsida; Ericales; Theaceae.